GACGAACGCUGGCGGCGUGCCUAACACAUGCAAGUCGAGCGAAUGAAGUUCCUUCGGGAAUGUAUUUAGCGGCGGACGGGUGAGUAACACGUGGGCAACCUGCCUCAUAGAGGGGAAUAGCCUCCCGAAAGGGAGAUUAAUACCGCAUAAGAUUGUAGUACCGCAUGAUACAGCAAUUAAAGGAGCAAUCCGCUAUGAGAUGGGCCCGCGGCGCCUUAGCUAGUUGGUGAGGUAAUGGCUCACCAAGGCGACGAUGCGUAGCCGACCUGAGAGGGUGAUCGGCCACAUUGGGACUGAGACACGGCCCAGACUCCUACGGGAGGCAGCAGUGGGGAAUAUUGCACAAUGGGGGAAACCCUGAUGCAGCAACGCCGCGUGAGUGAUGACGGCAUUCGGGUUGUAAAGCUCUGUCUUCAGGGACGAUAAUGACGGUACCUGAGGAGGAAGCCACGGCUAACUACGUG
RNAcentral lists this ribosomal RNA (464 nucleotides) under uncultured bacterium. Its description in RNAcentral is "partial 16S ribosomal RNA". It matches the Rfam family "Bacterial small subunit ribosomal RNA", at positions 28 to 507 of the family's 1533-position model. The record is from RNAcentral.